CCAAUAGCGUAUAUUAAAGUUGUUGCAGUUAAAAAGCUCGUAGUUGAAUUUCGGGGUUAGUAAGUUGGUCGUGCCACUGGUAUGUACUGGCUUUACUGAUUCCUCCUUCUUGUAGAACCGUAAUGCCAUUAAGUUGGUGUUGCGGGGAAACAGGACUGUUACUUUGAAAAAAUUAGAGUGUUUAAAGCAAGCUAACGCUUGAAUACAUUAGCAUGGAAUAAUGAAAUAGGACGUUCGAUCCUAUUUUGUUGGUUUCUAGGAUUGACGUAAUGAUUAAUAGGGAUAGUUGGGGGCAUUAGUAUUCAAUUGUCAGAGGUGAAAUUCUUGGAUUUAUUGAAGACUAACUACUGCGAAAGCAGUUGCCAAGGAUGUUUUCAUUAAUCAAGAACGAAAGUUAGGGGAUCGAAGACGAUCAGAUACCGUCGUAGUCUUAACCAUAAACUAUGCCGACUAGGGAUCGGAUGAUGUUAAUUUUAUAAUGACUCAUUCGGCGCCUUACG
RNAcentral lists this unclassified non-coding RNA (500 nucleotides) under uncultured Glomus. RNAcentral describes it as "SSU rRNA". It matches the Rfam family "Eukaryotic small subunit ribosomal RNA", at positions 591 to 1092 of the family's 1831-position model. The record is from RNAcentral. Lineage: Eukaryota; Fungi; Glomeromycota; Glomeromycetes; Glomerales; Glomeraceae.